GAUGAAGAACGUAGUGAAUUGCGAUAUGUAAUGUGAAUUGCAGAAUUCAGUGAAUCAUCGAAUCUUUGAACGCACCUUGCACCCUCUGGUAUUCCGGAGGGUAUGCCUGUUUGAGUGUCAUUAACAUCUCAACGCUUGAUGGGUUCUUGUAACCCGUUCAGUGGUUGGACUUUGAAGGUUGCCGGUGUCAAAGCCAGCUCCUUUUAAAUGCAUGAGCAAGGACUAUUCCGAAUCGGCUUCGGUUUGAUAAAUUUGACUUAUCUGAUGCCGUCGCUGAGGAACUAUGGUUGACCUGCUUCUAAUUGUCUUCCGACUGUCUCCUUGUGAGGCAACUAUAUUGACUCUUGACCUCAAAUCAGGUAGGACUACCCGCUGAACUUAAGCAUAUCAAUAAGCGGAGGA
Molecule: unclassified non-coding RNA, 402 nt
Filed under: soil metagenome
Description: partial contains 5.8S ribosomal RNA, internal transcribed spacer 2, and large subunit ribosomal RNA
Rfam family: 5.8S ribosomal RNA (bases 1-120)
Source: RNAcentral